UCCUACGGGAGGCAGCAGUAGGGAAUCUUCCGCAAUGGACGAAAGUCUGACGGAGCAACGCCGCGUGAGUGAUGAAGGUUUUCGGAUCGUAAAACUCUGUUGUUAGGGAAGAACAAGUACGAGAGUAACUGCUCGUACCUGACGCACUGCCUAUC
This 155-nucleotide ribosomal RNA is filed under the name uncultured bacterium. RNAcentral describes it as "partial 16S ribosomal RNA". It matches the Rfam family "Bacterial small subunit ribosomal RNA", at positions 337 to 501 of the family's 1533-position model. The record is from RNAcentral.